Molecule: long non-coding RNA, 1154 nt
Organism: Cyprinus carpio carpio
Lineage: Eukaryota; Metazoa; Chordata; Actinopteri; Cypriniformes; Cyprinidae
Source: Ensembl
GAUAGUUAAUAAUGAUGUUAUCAGUGAAAAUUAUAAAUAAUUAUCAGUACACUUAUUGAUACAACUCUACAUAAUUUGGUGCAAAAAAUAAAGACAUGAUAAAUAGAUAUGAAACGAUUCAGCAGAUACGGGACUUUUUCCAGAAAAAAAGUUAAAUUGUUUCCUGAGCGUCGUAUAUGAGGCACCUGGUAUAAAUGUCUGGUGGUGAUGUGCUUUAAUUGCAUGCAGGAAAAAAUGUAGGCUAAAUCGUGCGCACGAUUUACUAUUUCAUUCCCUCGAUUUGCUUAAUCGUGUACACUAUUUAUAAAUCGAGAGAACAAAUUAGUAAAUUGAGCGGACGAUUUAGCAAAUCGAUGAAAUGUAAAAGUAAUCGUGCACGUUUUAGUACAUUGAGGGAACGAAUUAGUAAAUCGUGGACACAAUUUAUUUUUUUCUUGCAUGUCAUUUGCGGGGCUCACUAUCAGAAGAUAAACCUAAACAAUAUUGCAAUUACCAAAGAACCAUAAUUCUUGAGCUUCUCAAAAGAUUAAAAAAAAACAUUCAUAAAGCGUAAAGAUAUGAAAAAUGAACAAUAUAGGGAUUUCUAGCAUCUCUCCUGUAUUAUUUGUCCCACCCCAAAAAAACAUAAACAGUUUAAGAAAAUGAGCAUAUUGACUUUCUCAGGAGAAUCUGUGAAUACUCUGAUAACGGACUGUGGAGAAGACUCUUUCAGUCAGUGCUGAGGAGGCAGAGUUAGGUGCUGGACAGCCGAUAGAGAAGAGGAAGAGGGUCUUUCUUACCCCAGCAGCAGAAGACAGGCUCUUCUGAGGGAAGGACAGGAGGCUCCUUCUCAGCACCUGAUCUUCUUCAGGAAAGAGUUCCUCUAGUGUAGAGUCAGAGACUCAGAUUUCUUGCAAACUGGAAUCUUUUAAUAACAUUUAGCAUAUUACUGUAGUCAUGUUCAUUGUUUUUAUUAUAACACAUGGCAAGUUUGAGAAAAUUGUCAAACAUGUUCUUCCUCCUCUUCUUCAUCCUGAGCCUGCACCGUCAAUAUCCUUCUCUGGCAGCUGAAAGGGAGGAUCAUCUUGUUAAUGUUGCUUAUGUAUGUACACAACCAGUCAGAAAUCUGGAAUCUUUUCUUUAUGGCUUUCAAGAGAAGUCUCUUCUGCUCACCA